This 534-nucleotide ribosomal RNA is filed under the name Triticum aestivum (bread wheat). RNAcentral's name for it is "partial small subunit ribosomal RNA". Lineage: Eukaryota; Viridiplantae; Streptophyta; Magnoliopsida; Poales; Poaceae. The record is from RNAcentral.
CUGGUAGCUUGGAAGCUGGAACCGAUGAUUUCAAGAAAAGAUGCAACACAAGCGAUUUAAAUAAAAAAAAGCUGAAACGCGAUUUAGAAGGAUGCAACCCGUUAAGCAGAUUGCUACUACCGGCAAUUAAAAAAGCUACAACCGUGUGGGCAAUUUGAUAGCCGAAUCCAUCCCUGGGAGAGUGGAUCUCACCGCCCCCCGCCGCUCGCAAAUUCCACCGGCAUGCGUGCGGCGUCGUCCCCGCCACACGCAACACCACGUCUCCUGCUCCUACCGCGCGGCUCCUGACCUCCAGCAACAACCAGCGGCAGCGCACGCAGCCACCCCCUGUUGCAUCCAGAAGACAAAAAAAAGCUUGCAGGAGUGGAUUGGCAGCGCCACCGUAGCAGAUCAGCCCCUCGAAUUGAUGAAGCAGGUCAGCGGCGUGGAGCUACGGGAGAGGAGGAGGCCUUGGCGGAAGCAACGCAGUAGCUUGGAGCAGCCAUGCCCGUGAGAGAUUGAGAGUAAUGGUGGGGGAGAAACACGGAAGGAAAG